CCGUUUGUUCCAUAUCUUCUUCUGCUACAGAGGAAUGGUCUUAGCUUGAAAAAACAAACAGGGGUAAGGAAGCAACACAACUGCAAACGUAGGAGCCAUAUGUGUCUCAUCCUCGCACCGCUGGCUCCAGGUAAGUGCAUCUUCUACCUUCUGCUUCUUUUUUUUCUUGCUUCAAUUUCACAGUCGAUUUGGUGUUUAAUUUUUUUGAUAAUCCAUUUGAUUUCCGACUUCCUCUUUUGUGUUUUUUUUAUUUGAUGAUUUGUUGGUCAAGAAUCUACAAGGAAAGGUAGCGAUGUUUCCGUUUGUUCCAUUGUCGUCGUUUGGAUGUGCAACGAAGGUGGUGAGGCCAACGGCAAACCUGACGAAGUUGGUUGGAUGUUUAAUUUUUCGUGUUUCAUGAGCCCUAAUUUAUUUUAUUUUAUUUUUUUGUUUUUAAUUUUUCGCAGUCUUUGAUGUUUCCCUCUCCGAUCCAUUUUUCCCAUCAGAUAUAUCCCCAAAAUCAUCCGUAAUGUUCCCUCGCCACCACGUUCGACGAAACCUCCGUCUUGCUAGAAAGCCUGAUCGGCGGUGCUGCACCAAUCGAGGACACUGAUGGUCACCGUAUUUCUGUGUGUGCGCCGAUUCAGAUGCAAUUUUGCUUCGUGUCAACCUGUUUCCGCCUUUAAUUCUUUCGUUGUUAAUUCUCAUUUCAAAGAUUUGGUUCAGUCGUGUCUUAAAUUGUGGAUUAUUUCCUUAACCAUGCUUCUUUUUUACUUUCUCUUGAUGGUAAUCUCUCGUUGUUAGUUCUUGAUUUCACGUUUCAUGUUUUUUCUUAUGUCAUAGAAGACCAUGUUUUUGGCCUUUUGGGUGUAUCCCGAAAGGCAGAAAGAAGAAAAAGCCACAUGUUGAAGUCUGUAGUGGAAGUAGUGAAUUGAAGACAGAAGCGAGUAUAUUUGUGAUUAUAGCUAAUGUACGUAAUAUUAUUAUGAUUAUUCACUAUCUUUACAGCUUUUAAUUGAGUGAAACUGAAAAGAUUGUUGAAUAUGAUAAAUAUGAAACCAUGAGGGUACUAACGUAUUGUGGAUCUCUUCUAUAUUUGUUAUUUGUCACUACAUACUGAUAAGUAAGGUUACAUAAUAUUUCAUGCGAAUGAUGCCAUUUCACAAAACAAUAAUACAAUUUUUGUGAAAUUUGAAAAUCGUAAAGUUAACUAACAUAUUAUUUUGAAAUAUUUUAAAAAACAUGUUUAUCUUGCCAUACAUUAAAGAAAUUACCACUUUAAUGGAGAUUUAUAGCAUCAUUAAAGGGUCUAUCGGAAACUUCCCACCUUUUACCUCAGGUAAAGUUUGUUAAUUAGUAACUAUAAAUCAUCAUGAUUCGUCAGUUUGAUUUAAAUUACUUGAUUUAAUCCUGUAGGAAAUGGAAAAUGGAUUUGAUCGAGUUUAAUCAGAGUUAAAGCGUGGUUUACAUGAAUAGAUACUUCUAUCCUUUAACCAGCUUCCAAAUUGGGUAUGAGCUUUUCUUUUAUCAUAUCAAAUGCAUUUGAUUUAGUAAUGUUCAGAUUUGAAUUGUGAUUUAUGUUUGAUUAGUUAAUCAGAGGUGAGUUAUAUAUUUUUAUAGCUUUUGUGUUUGUUAAAGAUUUGUUUUAUUUGUAGCCGGACAGAAAACAUUUCAUAUGUAACAACCAAAAAAAUUCGUACAAUUGUAGCAUGGUACUUUUGAAAAAUAUACUCACUUACAGAAGUGUAAACUACUUUCUAAUUGAAUUACAUUGUUGAAUGUUGUGAGCUUGGGGAUAAAUGUAAGAACUAGUAAUAUACUUUCCAUAUAAUUGUUCUUGGGCGUAUUGGAUAUAUAGAGUUUUGUUUGACAGUUAUAUGCAUUUCUACGGACGAUUAUUGUCCCUUCUAACAAGCUACCACCUACGAUAAAGCAUGUUGUUUUGAUAUCAUUGUUUACAAAGAAAAAC
RNAcentral lists this long non-coding RNA (1948 nucleotides) under Lactuca sativa (garden lettuce). Its description in RNAcentral is "long non-coding RNA (LSAT_LNC009638)". The record is from RNAcentral. Lineage: Eukaryota; Viridiplantae; Streptophyta; Magnoliopsida; Asterales; Asteraceae.